UGGGGGAUAUUGCACAAUGGAGGAAACUCUGAUGCAGCGACGCCGCGUGAGUGAAGAAGUAUUUCGGUAUGUAAAGCUCUAUCAGCAGGGAAGAAAGACCUCGAAAGAGGGGAUGACGGUACCUGAGUAAGAAGCCCCGGCUAACUACGUGCCAGCAGCCGCGGUAAUACGUAGGGGGCAAGCGUUAUCCGGAUUUACUGGGUGUAAAGGGAGCGUAGACGGUAAAGCAAGUCUGAAGUGAAAGCCCGCGGCUCAACUGCGGGACUGCUUUGGAAACUGUUUAACUGGAGUGCUGGAGAGGUAAGCGGAAUUCCUAGUGUAGCGGUGAAAUGCGUAGAUAUUA
RNAcentral lists this ribosomal RNA (343 nucleotides) under uncultured Clostridium sp. Its description in RNAcentral is "bacterial SSU rRNA". It matches the Rfam family "Bacterial small subunit ribosomal RNA", at positions 355 to 699 of the family's 1533-position model. Lineage: Bacteria; Bacillati; Bacillota; Clostridia; Eubacteriales; Clostridiaceae. The record is from RNAcentral.